This 1038-nucleotide long non-coding RNA is filed under the name Olea europaea (common olive). RNAcentral describes it as "long non-coding RNA (OEUR_LNC012122)". Lineage: Eukaryota; Viridiplantae; Streptophyta; Magnoliopsida; Lamiales; Oleaceae. The record is from RNAcentral.
GUUCCUCCUUUCAUUGAGAGCAAAAACCAGCAAUUUUUUCCUUGCUUUGUGCCUGUCGUUUUUUCCCCCCUUUUCUUGCCUUUGUGGCUAUCUUCUAAGGGAGCCUUUGUGAUUGAAAUAGCACUCCAUUUUUGUGUCCUUUUGUGGGUGUAAUCUUUAGCAAUCAAAGUAAAUAAGUGGUGUGGUUUUGGAUCGUCGAUUGGAGGUGUUUGAAAAGGUCGAGAUUGGUAAACUGGGCCUGGAAAUACACCUUGAAGGCACUCUUCCACGACAAUUGGUAUCAAGCAACUUUGGUAGUGGAUUUUCAGCCAAAAAUUGAUCAGAAAACACCCAAAAAUUGACUUAAAAAAUGAAAUAGAAACUGUCCAUUUUUAUUUUUUUUACAACCCACUGGACUUGUUUUUGUGUUUUUUGACCAAACCAGUGGCCAGUUGGAGAAACCAAGACCACAGGCAGACUCUGCCGGUGGAGGCACUCCAGAUUCAACUACUAGUAACCGGCGAGUAGGACUCCAACGAAGGCGCGUGACAAUUGGGCAGUUUCAGGCGAUAGUUGCUUCAAGCAAAAUAUUUCUAAUGUGAUUAUUAAGGAUUUGAUGUUAGUUUCCUGUUUCGACUCAUACAGUGAAAUCUGGACAACUUUGCCCCUGCACAUUUGUGAUUUGAUUUUUUGCUCGAUUGGUUGCUGCGGUACUUGGAGACUUUUGGGUGAAUAGUAAGGGUCCUAAAGAAACAAAUUCAAAUUUCUCGUUAUUUACGGACUCAGAUUGAUCCGCUCUAAUAAAUUGGCAUGUCUCAUUUAAAUUUCAGCAUUAGCGCGUCAUGUUAGGGGUUAUAUUAGAAUCGAAGUUACCAUGAAAGGGUAACCGUUGCGUUAGAAUUUCAGAAGAUAUUUGUCAUAUUUGAAGUGUUGGAUUUAAUUGCAAGCUGAUUAUUGAUUCUGUAUUUAAUUGUCAUUAAGUCACUAUGUGAGAUUGUAUUGUGUGAGAAAUUGAUUUUGUUGACAUACAUUUGUGUUGCAUUGAACAUUCCAUUGAAC